This 100-nucleotide transfer RNA is filed under the name Planctomycetales bacterium. Its description in RNAcentral is "tRNA-Sec". It matches the Rfam family "Selenocysteine transfer RNA". The record is from RNAcentral. Lineage: Bacteria; Pseudomonadati; Planctomycetota; Planctomycetia; Planctomycetales.
GGAAGUGCCUAGCGGACUGGUGUCCCUCGCGGUCUUCAAAAUCGUCGGAUCCGCUGUCAAGCGGCGGAUCGGUGGGUUCGAUUCCCAUGCACUUCCGCCA